RNAcentral lists this ribosomal RNA (500 nucleotides) under uncultured bacterium. RNAcentral's name for it is "bacterial SSU rRNA". It matches the Rfam family "Bacterial small subunit ribosomal RNA", at positions 28 to 526 of the family's 1533-position model. The record is from RNAcentral.
GAUGAACGCUGGCGGCGUGCUUAACACAUGCAAGUCGAACGAAGCAACAUUGACCGAAGCCUUCGGGUGAAAGAUGAUGUUGACUGAGUGGCGGACGGGUGAGUAACGCGUGAGUAACCUACCUCGUACAGGGGGAUAACAGUUGGAAACGACUGCUAAUACCGCAUAAGCGCACGGGAUUGCAUAAUCCAGUGUGAAAAACUCCGGUGGUACGAGAUGGACUCGCGUCUGAUUAGCUGGAUGGUGAGGUAAUGGCUCACCAUGGCGACGAUCAGUAGCCGACCUGAGAGGGUGACCGGCCACAUUGGGACUGAGACACGGCCCAAACUCCUACGGGAGGCAGCAGUGGGGAAUAUUGCACAAUGGGGGAAACCCUGAUGCAGCGACGCCGCGUGAAGGAUGAAGUAUUUCGGUAUGUAAACUUCUAUCAGCAGGGAAGAAAAUGACGGUACCUGACUAAGAAGCCCCGGCUAAUUACGUGCCAGCCGCCGCAGUAAAAC